AGGGAAGGAAGGGGGGGGAGGGAGGGNNNNNNNNNNNNNNNNNNNNNNNNNNNNNNNNNNNNNNNNNNNNNNNNNNNNNNNNNNNNNNNNNNNNNNNNNNNNNNNNNNNNNNNNNNNNNNNNNNNNNNNNNNNNNNNNNNNNNNNNNNNNNNNNNNNNNNNNNNNNNNNNNNNNNNNNNNNNNNNNNNNNNNNNNNNNNNNNNNNNNNNNNNNNNNNNNNGGGGUGUGGGGGGCGGCGGGCCGGAGGGACGAGGGCGGGCGAGAGGCGCGCGCUGGGAUUGGCGCCGAAGACCGGACCCUCAGCCGCUAGGGACCAGAGGAACUAGACAUCCUGAAGUUCCUGGUUGGAAUGUAUUUUUGAAGUUAAUUUGUCAGGUCAAACCUCCAGGGGCUAUCAGGGCAAACACCUUGAGUGAAGAGGAUCUCGCCGCUUACCUACAUACAGGCAGAAAUUCUAUCUACAGAAAAGUUACCGCAGGAAAUGGAUCAAAAGAUUCAACCAGCAAAUGGUGAAUCAAUGGCAAGUCAAUAGUAAGGUGAGAGAUUAUGUUACUAAAGGAUGACCUCAAGAUUAUUAUUAUACAAUGAAUUAAUUUCUUAUGUAGAUAAAUGCUGGACCAUUUAUUAUUGUCAUAGUAUAACUGGAGGUGAUUUCAUGUGUUCGUAAUGCCACAUGAGGUUAAAUGGAAUUGGGCAUGGUCCCCUCUCUAACAUGUUACCAGUGUCUGAUUUUGGGGACAUUUCUAAACAAUUCUGGGCUUCAGGAUCUCCACUUGAAAACAGGAGCAAUAGUAUUUAUCUGUUAGGUUAUGAAGGCACUGUUCUAACAUUCUAUGAAUGUUAGAACAGGCAAACACUCGACACCCAGCAUUCACUUCUUGAGGGCUAGUCCUCCCUACCCCUAUUUAUGGAGAUAGAAGAUAAAGAGAGAAGACAGAACUCUGCUUUCAUCUUCAAAUAUAUUUUUCUUCAUUGAUUAUCUAAUGAAUAUAACCAUUGACUCAGAAAAUAGGUGGAAUUUUCAUCUUUCCAACCUUCAUUCUUUUUUCAUUUCUUAGAGCGUUAAAGAUUUUUUAUUUAUUUAUUUGUCAGACAGCCAGCGAUAGAGGGAACACAAGCGGGGGAGUGGGGGAGGAAGAAGCAGGCUCCCGGCGGAGGAGCCCGAUGUGGGACUGGAUCCUGGAAUGCCAGGAUCACGCCCUGAGCCGAAGGCAAACGCCUAACAACUGCGCUACCCAGGCGCCCCCAUUUCUUAGAGCUUUAAUGAGCGUCUACUAUAAGCUGAGAGCUGAGUGCUGUGGGAGACAAAAAGGAGAGUGAUCCUAUUCUCAUGGAGAUUGGGAUCUAGAAAGAGAGGUCAUAUAUAUAUAAUAAUAAUUUUAUAUACAUAUAUAUAUAUAAAUGCCAGUAGAGAGACAAAAUAUUGCCUUCGUUUAUUAGAAGGAGAAAUUAUUUUAACUAGGGUUAUCACAGAAAGCUUCAUGGAGGAGGUAGUGAUAGAUUGGGCUUUAAAGACGAGGUACAAUUUAGGCAGCAGUGAGAGAGGGAAUGCAGUGAACCGAGACUGAGGUAACGUGAUUGGGUGGGAAAAACGCUAACCUGGGACUGGAAAGACCUGGGUUGGCAAUACCUCCGUUGAACUACUCCCUGGCCUUCAGUUUCUUUAUUUGUGAAAUGUGUAAAAUAAUCUCUGCCCUGUUGGUCUUUCAGGGGCCUGGAGAAGAUCACAAGGGAGCCUGCAUGUGAGAUCUCUUUGGAAACCCUGAAGCACUCUGUGAAUGAAAAGGGUAAAUUUUUUCUCUCUUGCCUUGUACCAUAAACUCCAUGAGAGCAUUUGACAGGGUCAGUUAUGUAGGUCUUUAAGAAAAAUGUUUGAGGAAGUAUAUCCAAACAAUCACACUUAUAAACCUUAAGUCUUCAUAAUUUUUAUUUGCCAAUUAUAUGUCAGUAAAGAGGGGGAAAGUUUUGCCUUUUUUUUUUAAUAUUUUAUUUAUUUAUUCGACAGAGAUAGUGACAGCCAGCGAGGGAGGGAACACAAGCAGGGGGAGUGGGAGAGAAAGAAGCAGGCUCAUAGCGGAGGAGCCUGAUGUGGGGCUCGAUCCCAUAACGCCGGGAUCAGGCCCUGAGCCGAAGGCAGACGCUUAACGACUGUGCCACCCAGGUGCCCCAAGAGGGGGAAAGUUUUGAUAAAACAAUGAAGCAUUGAUUGAGUGAAUGAAUCCAUGAAUGUUAUGGACUGAAUGUCUGUGUCCCCCCAGAAUUCAUAUGCUGAAAUCCCACCUCUAAUGCGGUAGUGUUAGGAGGUGGGGCCUCGGGAGGUACUUAGGUUUAUAUGAGGUCCCGAGGGCAGAGCCCCACGAUGGAAUUAGUGCCCUUACAAGAAGAGGAGACUCCAGCACUUUCUCUCUUCAGCUUGUGAUGAUACAGUGAGAAGGCAGCCAUCGGCAAGCCAGGAAGGGGGCGCUCACCAAGAAUUGAAUCUUCUGGUACCUUGAUCUUGGACUUCCCAGCCUCCAGAACGGUGAAAAAUAAAUGUCUGUUGUUAAGCCGCCCAGGUGUGGUGUUUUGUUAUAGUCGCCUGAGUGGACUAAGACAGUGAGUAAAUAAAUGACUGAAACAAAACAAAGGCGCAGAGGAGGAAAACAUACAACAUGAACAAGGAGUAAAGGGUUAUCUUUGAAAAUAUGUGGUACAGCUGGGUGUUAGGAGUGUAACCCAGAGCUGGGGGGGUGGAUGGAGUGCCGCGGUCCUCAGAGGACGUUCUGUGGACCAGCAGCAUCAGUAUCACCUAGGAACUCGUUAAAAAUGCAAGUUCCUGGGCCCCCACCCAGGCCUGCGGAAUCUGAAACUCAGGGGUGGGGCCAGCAGUCUGUUUUAGCGAUCCCUCUAGGUCAUUCUGGUGCAAAGUAAAGUUUUGAGAACCAUUACUUUGUACUAACAUGGGGAGUUUGGAAAUUAUUCUGCUGUAAAUUCAGUGUUAAUGAAGGUUUUUAACUGUGGAUGGAUAUAAUCAGAGCUGUAUUUCUAGGAUGAUGAGGCAUGAAGCUUUGCCUAAAAGAAUUUAUGGCUUCGAUGUAAAAAGCACCACUGGAAAUCCUGGAAAACACAUUGUAUUUGCCAAGCCCCAGAGUGAAAGAUUUUGAUUUUUCCUGAUUCCAGAUAAUAUCCACAUCAUCAGCGAAGAGGCAAACCAGAGCAGGCAUUGCUCCCAGGCCCUGGAGAAACCUGUUUGGCCUACAGAGACCAGGCAGGAUGAGAAAGUUUCUGUGAAAAUACACGAGAUAACUGUGAAAUAUGGUCCUAACUGAUCUUAGAGAGGCCUCUUAGUCCUGAGCAGCUGUGGGGAAACAUGAAAUGGAACCUUCCAUACCACGACAAACGGGCAGCUCUUCCUACUGCUGGCCUAACUAGCUAUACUGGCUGAAAAUGCAGCUCUAUUUGGGGCUGGUGGAGACAGGUCUGCCAAAGGGGAGGGCAUCGUGUGGAAGAGAAAUGAAGAGCCUCAAGGGAAAGCAGUUACCUUAAAGGAGAGUCUAGAAGCCCAAGAUGCCAGUGUCAGGUGGGAGCGAGUGGGGAGGAGAAGGAUGAGGGCUGUUCAGAGAGGUUUAGGACUGCUAGGGUGACCAGUCAUCUGGGUUUGCCCAGGACUCAGGAUGUUCAGGACAAGCCCUGCCAAACCAGGGCAGUUGGUCACCCUGGAACUAUGCACCCUCGCUGUGUUGAAGAUCUGGGGAGAAGACUUUGUGAAAGCAGAAAAAUCACUUCUCUAAAGCUUGGGUCUCAAGUAUCGUCUACAGACUGGCAACGUCAGUGUCACCUGGGAGCUUGUUAGAAAUGCAGCUCCUCGGCCCACCCUAAAGCUACAGGAUCAGACCUGCAUGACAGCAAGAGCCCCAGGUCAUUUGCAUGCACAUGGGUUCAGAAAGACUGCCUUAGAGGAUCUGUGAGCCCUGCAUGGCUUCCCCCAGUUAAAAAAAAAAAAAGUAGCACUGGUGGGGAGCCGAGAGAAUUUCUUGGCUGUGAUACAGCUCACGUCCAGGUUGGCCAGAUUCUAAGCUGCAACUGCAUCAACCCUGCCUGGGAAGGAGCAGAAGCAUUGAGAAGGUUAUAUGCGAGGGGUACCAAGAAUUGAGAGCAAAGAGGGAAAAGGACAGUUGACACAAAAUAGCCAAGAGGGGCCUCCUGACCUAUUAACAGUAGUUGUAGGAAUGCAGGAAAGCCAGAAAUCCAGCAAUCGUGUGGUGAGAGUAAAGCUAGAGAAAUACUCUUCUGUUCUAAUACUGUGACUCUGUUUUGGUGAAAAACAAGCUGAUGUGGGCUGGGAAAUGAAUUAUGCUUGAAAAUGUGGAGUCACAGUGCUGUGGGUAAGCCUUCAGAGAAAGAUGAAAAAGGAGCACCCACUACAAGUAUCCAGCUUUAGCAUCUUGGCCUCCCUCACUUGCAUCUCACUCAGAAAUGCAAAGCAAGUUUAGUUUUUUCUUUGUCUCUACCUGGUCUGAUCAUUAUGGGUUCCAGCUCUGCAUUCUAGCAAGAAUAAUUUGCACUUAAUUCAUAGUGGUUCAUUUUUCUCCAGCUUGAACAUAAUUCUUUGAUUUUAAACAUUCCAAUGUGCAGCAGAAUCACCUAGAGGGCAUGUUAAAACACAGAUUGCUGGGCCUACCCCAAGGUUUCUGAUUCAGUACAUCUGGUAGCAACUUAGAAUUUGCAUUUCUAAGGAGUUCCCAGUUGAUGCUGAUUUUAUUGGUCCAAGGAACACACGUUAGAACC
Molecule: long non-coding RNA, 4767 nt
Filed under: Ailuropoda melanoleuca (giant panda)
Lineage: Eukaryota; Metazoa; Chordata; Mammalia; Carnivora; Ursidae
Description: lncRNA (ENSAMEG00000030499.1)
Source: RNAcentral